GUACGCGAGCUGGGUUUAGAACGUCGUGAGACAGUUCGGUCCCUAUCUGCCGUGGGCGUUGGAGACUUGAGGGAAGCUGCUCCUAGUACGAGAGGACCGGAGUGGACGUACCCCUGGUGUUCCGGUUGUCACGCCAGUGGCAUUGCCGGGUAGCUAUGUACGGACGGGAUAACCGCUGAAAGCAUCUAAGCGGGAAGCCCCUCCCAAGAUGAGGUCUCCCUGGGCACUCGAUGCCCCUGAAGGUCCGUCGAAGACCACGACGUUGAUAGGCAGGAUGUGGAAGCGCGGUAACGUGUGAAGCUAACCUGUACUAAUUGACCGUGCGGCUUGACCAUAUAACACCCAAGUGCGUUGCAG
RNAcentral lists this ribosomal RNA (357 nucleotides) under Marichromatium gracile. RNAcentral's name for it is "bacterial LSU rRNA". It matches the Rfam family "Bacterial large subunit ribosomal RNA", at positions 2596 to 2925 of the family's 2925-position model. The record is from RNAcentral. Lineage: Bacteria; Pseudomonadati; Pseudomonadota; Gammaproteobacteria; Chromatiales; Chromatiaceae.